This 478-nucleotide ribosomal RNA is filed under the name uncultured bacterium. Its description in RNAcentral is "partial 16S ribosomal RNA". It matches the Rfam family "Bacterial small subunit ribosomal RNA", at positions 28 to 523 of the family's 1533-position model. The record is from RNAcentral.
GACGAACGCUGGCGGCGUGCUUAACACAUGCAAGUCGAACGGUAAGGCCCUUCGGGGUACACGAGUGGCGAACGGGUGAGUAACACGUGGGUGAUCUGCCCUGCACUUCGGGAUAAGCCUGGGAAACUGGGUCUAAUACCGGAUAGGACCACUGCCUGCAUGGGUGGUGGUGGAAAGCUUUUGCGGUGUGGGAUGGGCCCGCGGCCUAUCAGCUUGUUGGUGGGGUGAUGGCCUACCAAGGCGACGACGGGUAGCCGGCCUGAGAGGGUGACCGGCCACACUGGGACUGAGGUACGGCCCAGACUCCUACGGGAGGCAGCAGUGGGGGAUAUUGCACAAUGGGCGCAAGCCUGAUGCAGCGACGCCGCGUGAGGGAUGACGGCCUUCGGGUUGUAAACCUCUUUCAGCGCCGACGAAGCGCAAGUGACGGUAGGUGCAGAAGAAGGACCGGCCAACUACGUGCCAGCAGCCGCGGUAA